Delphinapterus leucas (beluga whale) is the source of this 798-nucleotide non-coding RNA. Lineage: Eukaryota; Metazoa; Chordata; Mammalia; Artiodactyla; Monodontidae. The record is from RefSeq and is a predicted model, not a curated record.
GAGGCGUCUGCGCAGUACAACCCAGAGCCCCCGCCCCCUCGCACCCAAUACUCCAACAUCCAGGCCAAUGAGAGUGAGAAGGCCCGGCAUUUCCGGAGGCUCUUUGCCCAGCUGGCUGGAGAGGACAUGGAGGUCAGUGCCACAGAACUCAUGAACAUUCUCAACAAAGUCGUGACCCGACAUCCUGAUCUGAAGACUGAUGGUUUUGGCAUUGACACAUGUCGCAGCAUGGUGGCCAUUAUGGAUAGUGACACGACCGGCAAGCUGGGCUUCAAGGAAUUCACGGACUUGUGGAACAACAUCAAAAAGUGGCAGGCCAUAUACAAACAGUUUGACAUUGACCGUUCAGGGACCAUUGGCAGCAGUGAACUCCCAGGGGCCUUUGAGGCAGCAGGAUUCCGCCUGAAUGAGCAUCUCUACAACAUGACCAUCCGACGCUACUCGGAUGAGGGAGGGAACACGGAUUUUGACAACUUCAUCAGCUGCCUGGUCAGACUGGAUGCCAUGUUCCGCGCCUUCAAAUCUCUUGACAAAGAUGGCACUGGACAAACCCAGGUGAACACCCAGGAGUGGCUGCAGCUGACCAUGUAUUCCUGAACGGGAGUCGCAGACCUGCCCCCUCAUCGCCUCGCUGUAGGAGUCACCUUGGACUCUUCAGUCUCCCCCAGGGCUGAUCCUGUUUGCAGUCACAUCUUCAUGGCUCCUGCUGACCCACAGGCCUUUCUGUUCUCCCAGCCCUUGGCACCCGGAUUCUCAGUCAACAGCCAGGGCCCAACAUGCUUCAACACACCCUGCCCC